Molecule: transfer RNA, 73 nt
Filed under: Paramuricea clavata
Lineage: Eukaryota; Metazoa; Cnidaria; Anthozoa; Malacalcyonacea; Plexauridae
Rfam family: tRNA
About the family: Transfer RNA (tRNA) molecules are approximately 80 nucleotides in length. Their secondary structure includes four short double-helical elements and three loops (D, anti-codon, and T loops). Further hydrogen bonds mediate the characteristic L-shaped molecular structure. tRNAs have two regions of fundamental functional importance: the anti-codon, which is responsible for specific mRNA codon recognition, and the 3' end, to which the tRNAs corresponding amino acid is attached (by aminoacyl-tRNA synthetases). tRNAs cope with the degeneracy of the genetic code in two manners: having more than one tRNA (with a specific anti-codon) for a particular amino acid; and 'wobble' base-pairing, i.e. permitting non-standard base-pairing at the 3rd anti-codon position.
Source: Rfam by way of RNAcentral
AACCACGUAGCUCAGUUGGCAGAGCAUUGGGCUAGUAUUCCAAAGGUCGUAGGUUCGAUUCCCACCGUGGCUG